AAAUAAUUUUCUGAAAUUGCUGUUCUUGUAGGCCAGACUCCUCUUUUUCAUGCGGCACGAUCAGGGCAUACUGAAACUGCAAAGUAUCUAAUAGAGCAAGGUGCCCAUCCUGCCAUGCCUGAGAAAGCAGGUUUGACAGCUCUACAUAUCUCUGCUGCAAUCGCCCAAUGCUCAAAAUGAUGAUAAAUUAGCUCCACUCUCUGCAUCAAUAGUAGCCGGCUCGGUUGAAUGGGUAAAGCUGUUAAUUCAGGUUUCUAGAACUUUUUCACAUUCAAUGUUUAACCUAUCUCCUACAUACACUAAUGUUAUUUGGUUACUUCAGUUUUCCUGAGGUCCAAGCGGUCCUUUCAUUUCCAUCUUAUGCAUGAUAUUUUUAGACAACCUCUAUAGGUUGAUGGGCAUUAUAUUGUUUUAAUCAAUGUUCAAUCAGAUUUUCACAUGGUAAUUGUGCUUCCUUAUUUGUUUCCUUUGAUAUUGCCCGUUUGAUUCUGUUAAUUCUAACGCUCUUGAUUACAGUUUGUUAUUAACAAGUUUUCACUAGCAGAAUAUGAUAUGCACACCCCUUUUCUUGCCAUCACUUUCAUUUCUACUGCAAACAGGUUGCUCAAUGCAGAGACAGUACUCUGGCUGCUGUGAAUAUCUUUUUGUGCUUGCUUUCAUUGGCAUAUCCAUCAUCCUUUCAUCUAUGUGCCCAUAGAAGUUAUAAAAAAUCGUACCUGGUAAUAUUUAUUGCAUUUCGCUGUCCAUGCAGGCGGGCACUAAAUUAAAUAUGAGUUGGGCCGAAGGAGGAACACCACUGCUCGUUGCUGCUUAUUUUCGGAAACUAGAAAUCGUAAAUUGUCUAUUAGAGGCUUGAGCUGAUGCUGAUAUUGCAGAUCAGGUCGAAAGCUUUAGAGUUUUACUUCUCCGGAAGUUUGCAUUAUAUAUUUAUAAAACUUCACUUACUUGCAUAUUUUGAAAGCUUGUUUUGAUGCAAAUAUGGCAAAAGGAAAAAAAAUCCAUGGACUGACCCCAUCGUCUCCAGCCUAUAGGAACUACUUAUGAUGUAUCAUAAACAUUUUUUCUGAAUUGAUGAUUGCUUAAAUUUUUGCAUGGUCUAGUGCUUUAUCAGUAGCUAUUCAUUUACUUAAUCUGGAAUUCUGAUCCCUCAUCUCCAGUAUUAUCGUCGUUGCAUUCAUUUCGCUUAUUCCUGGGAAAAUUUUAAUAUUUUGUCUCUUGUCCUGGGAUAUUAUUUGGAUGAUGAGUUAUUCAUCGUGUAUCAUGCAAUUCAUCAUGUAUCAUGCUUUCUUGUUGUCAUCACAGUAUGGGAUAAAGCAUAUAGAUGUUGCAGCCCAAAGAGGAAAUCGUGCAGCUGUGGAGAUUCUCUUUCCGAAGACCUCUACAAUUCAAACUAUCCCAGAAUGGAGCGUGGAUGGAAUUUUGUAGUAUGUGCCGUCUGAAACUGGUGAUAUGCAGGCUUUGAUCCUUGGAUCUUUAAUGUCAGCAAUGCCCUAUGGGCUGAAAAUGGAGGAAGAAGUCGGCAAAGCAGAGGAAAGUAGUAAUAAAAAGGACGCCUCAUUGACAAAGCAAAAGAUCUCAAAGGUAAUGGUGUAUUCCAAACAGAAAGCUGCAGAGGCCAAAUUAAGAGGAGAUGAUUCUUACAGAAGAAAAGACUAUUGAGC
Long non-coding RNA from Syzygium oleosum, 1661 nucleotides. RefSeq lists it as uncharacterized. The transcript has 5 exons. Lineage: Eukaryota; Viridiplantae; Streptophyta; Magnoliopsida; Myrtales; Myrtaceae. The record is from RefSeq and is a predicted model, not a curated record.